AUAUGUGUAGGAUUUCAGUUUAUUUUGAAAGUUACAGGUCACAAAAUACAAGGACUAAAAUAAAAUUUCUAUGUGAAACAAUUUUAGAAGUUGGUAUGUUUGUCUUGGAAAUUUAAUACCCACCACAGAAAACAAAAUUGCCACACAAAAGUAUAUAUUCAUAUAAAGUAGGCAUCACAGGCUAUUUACCCAAGGUUAUUUUGACACUUUUUAAAAAUCAAUUUCACCGCCAAUCUCUGAUAAAUAUUGGAGUAAAAUUGUAUUUUUUCUCUAUUUUGGCAUAUACACACAUAUAACAAGGUUUUAAUAAUGUGUAUUUCAUAAAGCUGGUGUGUGCUAUCUCUAUACAGAACCCUAUGUUGUGUUCAGCUACAUCUGCGGAGUAUGAC
Non-coding RNA from Pelobates cultripes (western spadefoot toad), 389 nucleotides. The record is from the annotation of a GenBank genome assembly. Lineage: Eukaryota; Metazoa; Chordata; Amphibia; Anura; Pelobatidae.